This 473-nucleotide ribosomal RNA is filed under the name uncultured bacterium. RNAcentral describes it as "bacterial SSU rRNA". It matches the Rfam family "Bacterial small subunit ribosomal RNA", at positions 355 to 825 of the family's 1533-position model. The record is from RNAcentral.
UAGGGAAUUUUGGGCAAUGGGCGAAAGCCUGACCCAGCAACGCCGCGUGUGGGAUGAAGGCCCUCGGGUCGUAAACCACUGUCAGGAGGAAAGAAAAGUCGGCCGGAUAAUACUCGGUCGACCUGACGGUACCUCCAAAGGAAGCACCGGCUAACUCCGUGCCAGCAGCCGCGGUAAUACGGAGGGUGCAAGCGUUGUUCGGAUUUACUGGGCGUAAAGGGCGCGUAGGCGGCAUGACAAGUCACUUGUGAAAUCUCUGGGCUUAACCCAGAACGGCCAAGUGAUACUGUCGCGCUAGAGUGCAGAAGGGGCAAUCGGAAUUCUUGGUGUAGCGGUGAAAUGCGUAGAUAUCAAGAGGAACACCUGAGGUGAAGACGGGUUGCUGGGCUGACACUGACGCUGAGGCGCGAAAGCCAGGGGAGCAAACGGGAUUAGAUACCCCAGUAGUCCCUGAGCGGGCUGGCAAGGCGCAU